Molecule: ribosomal RNA, 200 nt
Filed under: uncultured bacterium
Lineage: Bacteria
Description: partial 16S ribosomal RNA
Rfam family: Bacterial small subunit ribosomal RNA
Source: RNAcentral
UACGUAGGGUGCAAGCGUUGUACCGGAAUUAUUGGGCGUAAAGAGCUCGUAGGUGGCGGGUUCACGUCGGGUGUGAAAGCCCGGGGCUUAACCCCGGUCUGCAUUCGAUACGGGCUUGCUAGGGUCCGGCAGGGGAGAUGGAAUUCCUGGUGUAGCGGUGAAAAUGCGCAGAUAUCAGGAGGAACACCGGUGGCGAAGGC